AUUGACGCUGGCGGCAGGCCUAACACAUGCAAGUCGAGCGGUAGCACAGAGAGCUUGCUCUCGGGUGACGAGCGGCGGACGGGUGAGUAAUGUCUGGGAAACUGCCUGAUGGAGGGGGAUAACUACUGGAAACGGUAGCUAAUACCGCAUAACGUCGCAAGACCAAAGUGGGGGACCUUCGGGCCUCAUGCCAUCAGAUGUGCCCAGAUGGGAUUAGCUAGUAGGUGGGGUAACGGCUCACCUAGGCGACGAUCCCUAGCUGGUCUGAGAGGAUGACCAGCCACACUGGAACUGAGACACGGUCCAGACUCCUACGGGAGGCAGCAGUGGGGAAUAUUGCACAAUGGGCGCAAGCCUGAUGCAGCCAUGCCGCGUGUGUGAAGAAGGCCUUCGGGUUGUAAAGCACUUUCAGCGGGGAGGAAGGCGAUAAGGUUAAUAACCUUGUCGAUUGACGUUACCCGCAGAAGAAGCACCGGCUAACUCCGUGCCAGCAGCCGCGGUAAUACGGAGGGUGCAAGCGUUAAUCGGAAUUACUGGGCGUAAAGCGCACGCAGGCGGUCUGUCAAGUCGGAUGUGAAAUCCCCGGGCUCAACCUGGGAACUGCAUUCGAAACUGGCAGGCUAGAGUCUUGUAGAGGGGGGUAGAAUUCCAGGUGUAGCGGUGAAAUGCGUAGAGAUCUGGAGGAAUACCGGUGGCGAAGGCGGCCCCCUGGACAAAGACUGACGCUCAGGUGCGAAAGCGUGGGGAGCAAACAGGAUUAGAUACCCUGGUAGUCCACGCCGUAAACGAUGUCGAUUUGGAGGUUGUGCCCUUGAGGCGUGGCUUCCGGAGCUAACGCGUUAAAUCGACCGCCUGGGGAGUACGGCCGCAAGGUUAAAACUCAAAUGAAUUGACGGGGGCCCGCACAAGCGGUGGAGCAUGUGGUUUAAUUCGAUGCAACGCGAAGAACCUUACCUGGUCUUGACAUCCACAGAACUUUCCAGAGAUGGAUUGGUGCCUUCGGGAACUGUGAGACAGGUGCUGCAUGGCUGUCGUCAGCUCGUGUUGUGAAAUGUUGGGUUAAGUCCCGCAACGAGCGCAACCCUUAUCCUUUGUUGCCAGCGGUUAGGCCGGGAACUCAAAGGAGACUGCCAGUGAUAAACUGGAGGAAGGUGGGGAUGACGUCAAGUCAUCAUGGCCCUUACGACCAGGGCUACACACGUGCUACAAUGGCAUAUACAAAGAGAAGCGACCUCGCGAGAGCAAGCGGACCUCAUAAAGUAUGUCGUAGUCCGGAUUGGAGUCUGCAACUCGACUCCAUGAAGUCGGAAUCGCUAGUAAUCGUAGAUCAGAAUGCUACGGUGAAUACGUUCCCGGGCCUUGUACACACCGCCCGUCACACCAUGGGAGUGGGUUGCAAAAGAAGUAGGUAGCUUAACCUUCGGGAGGGCGCUUACCACUUUGUGAUUCAUGACUGGGG
This 1459-nucleotide ribosomal RNA is filed under the name Klebsiella pneumoniae. Its description in RNAcentral is "bacterial SSU rRNA". It matches the Rfam family "Bacterial small subunit ribosomal RNA". The record is from RNAcentral. Lineage: Bacteria; Pseudomonadati; Pseudomonadota; Gammaproteobacteria; Enterobacterales; Enterobacteriaceae.